RNAcentral lists this long non-coding RNA (133 nucleotides) under Peromyscus maniculatus bairdii (prairie deer mouse). RNAcentral's name for it is "Adaptive response 33 conserved region 3 (ENSPEMG00000004366.2)". It matches the Rfam family "Adaptive response 33 conserved region 3". The record is from RNAcentral. Lineage: Eukaryota; Metazoa; Chordata; Mammalia; Rodentia; Cricetidae.
CCUCAUCAGGGCAAAACGUCUUCAGAAAGGAGGUUCGCUAAAUUAGGAUUCCGGGGCAUCCUCGGUCAAGCUCCCGGGUGGUAUCACAGACAUAGCGCCGGGUCACACCAAAACCUCCUGCGUCAUCCGUGAG